RNAcentral lists this ribosomal RNA (253 nucleotides) under uncultured bacterium. Its description in RNAcentral is "partial 16S ribosomal RNA". It matches the Rfam family "Bacterial small subunit ribosomal RNA", at positions 524 to 776 of the family's 1533-position model. The record is from RNAcentral.
UACGGGGGGGGUAAGCGUUGUUCGGAAUUACUGGGCGUAAAGGGCUCGUAGGCGGCCAACUAAGUCAGACGUGAAAUCCCUCAGCUUAACUGGGGAACUGCGUCUGAUACUGGAUGGCUUGGAUUUGGGAGAGGAAUGCGGAAUUCCAGGUGUAGCGGUGAAAUGCGUAGAUAUCUGGAGGAAUACCGGUGGCGAAGGCGGCAUCCUGGACCGACAUUGACGCUGAGGAGCGAAAGCCAGGGGAGCAAACGGG